AUUGCUUUUAAUGACAGCUUUGGCAUUCUGCAUUUUAUUCUGGUUAUUACUGCAAACUGGUGGGUGAUUAAUGUGUAUUACAUUCCCUUCUAAUGUGGUUUGUCUCUUUCUUCCUUUCUCCCAAUUUGGUGUCUUAUCUAUUGUGGUGACACAAAUACUCAGAUGUUGUUUAAUUUCUGGGUUUAUUUCCUUUCCCUCUUUCAAGACCCAUCCGAUGGCAGCACCUCCUUCUUCGAGGGUUCCCAGCUCUGAUGGAAUCAUUUUGACAUUUGACCACAGACCAUUGACACCGCUGGCAGCUGCUCACCACCCACAGAAUAAAGUCCUAGUCCCUUAGCUUUCCAGGACCUUCUAGCCUGGGAUCGGCAUGACAUCAAUCUCCUCCUGAUCCUCUUCAGCCCCUGGAGGUUAAAGACCUGCUGCCCUGCUUGCCUCACUUCUCUGCUCACUGGGGCUGUUUCCAGUCCUGUUGAGCCCAUUUUACUCACCUGGACCCCUGCAGUGUGCUGCCUCCUGGAGCCUGUGCUGCUUGCCUGAGGCCUUUCUGAGGUUGCCAGGGCCCGUGAUGCCUGCCAGGCUUGAGAAAAUGAGCACACCUCUUUACCACCACCAUAACCCUCAAUAACUGAGUAGAGUUGGAGGUAAAUACCCUAGUUCAUUCGCCCUUUCAUGAGAUAAAUCUGAGCUGUGUACCACACUGGCUCCAGAGUUCUUUAGGGAGAUUGAUAUGUUUUGGCUCUGUGUCCCCACCCAAAUCUCAUCUCAGAUUGUAAUCCCCACGUGUCAGGGGAGGGACCAGGUGGGAGUUGAUUGGAUCAUGGGGGGCGGUUUCACCCAUGCUGUUCUCCAGAUAGUGUGUGAAUUCUCAUGAGAGCUGAUGGUUUUAAAGUGUGGCACUUCCUCAUUCUCACACACACUCCCUCCUGCAGCCUUGUAAGUAAGCUGUCUGCUUUCCCCUUCGCCUUCCACCAUAAUCGUUACGUUUCCUGAGGCUUCCUAGCCAUGCUUUCUGCGAAGCCUGCGGAACUGAGUGAAUUAAACCUCUUUUCUUUAUAAUUACCCAGUAUCAGGUAGUUCUUUUAGCAGUGUGAGAAUGGACUAAUACUGAGAUGAAGCUCCAGACACUAGUGGGCUUGGGAACAUGCUAUUCUCUCUCUUGCUUCCCCACUUCUUAAGGUGUCUCUUCGCCUCCCAAAAUAAAUAACUCGCCUGCAAAUCCUUGCCUCAGGGGGAGCUUCUGGGGGAACUCAAACCAAGACAGGUCCCUCCUGGAACCUUUUCUCUUAGCCAGCUUUGCAUAACAAAUUCUCAAACCCAACUUCAAUGGGAACCCCAUCUGAGGAUAUGGGGAAUAAUACUAGUGAGGACUCAGUGCCAG
RNAcentral lists this long non-coding RNA (1378 nucleotides) under Callithrix jacchus (white-tufted-ear marmoset). Its description in RNAcentral is "lncRNA (ENSCJAG00000072000.1)". The record is from RNAcentral. Lineage: Eukaryota; Metazoa; Chordata; Mammalia; Primates; Cebidae.